AGAACUGGUGAGUCCCUCCCCCGGGGAAUGUGGAAUCGCCUGUGUUCUUCCCACCUCAAUGAAGACCCUACCUCCAGGAGGUGAGGAAGAGGCAGGAUGGGGUUUGGGAUCCUAGACCCCACAGAGGCUGCCAGCGGGGGGUGGGGGGGCUGCUUGAAAUCACUCAGAAUGUCGUCAUACAUUUAAUUGUGCUACUCCCCUACCGCCCGAUCACAGCCGUUGUAAUACUACAGUAACUUGUGCUUUCGGAAGCUUCGGGUUCUUUAUUUCUUUGAUUAGUUUACUGGUCUAUUUAGCACCGUGUGGAUGACAGCAAAAUGCGCACGGAGCCUACCGACGGUGCGUCUGGCUUUUCUUGAGAGGUUGGAAGAUAACGUGUAACGCGGGUCACGUUUAGCGUCAAACCUGUGGCCCGGCCUCGUUUUCUUUUUUUUUUUUUCAACGUUUAUUUAUUUUUGGGACAGAGAGAGACAGAGCAUGAACGGGGGAGGGGCAGAGAGAGAGGGAGACACAGAAUCGGAAACAGGCUCCAGGCUCCGAGCCAUCAGCCCAGAGCCCGACGCGGGGCUCGAACUCACGGACCGCGAGAUCGUGACCUGGCUGAAGUCGGACGCUUAACCGACUGCGCCACCCAGGCGCCCCAACCGGCCUCGUUUUCGAAUGAAAACGAGGUGCUUCUCCCGAAGGACCCCUCUGGCUCCCACUGUAAACUUAAUGCGAAUGAGAGAAAGCCUCCCAGCUUAAGGGACAGAUUUGAGUUCCUGCCGAGGGACCCAGCUCGGUGAGCCACGCGAGGCUGGGUUUGAGCUCCCACCGCCUUACAAGUGUGAGCACUUGUGUCCGGCCUUCCCUUCUGAGUUCCCAGCUCACAUCUGCCCCAAACACGCACACACGUGCACGCACACACACACACACACACACUCGCCCUCACACUUUGAAGUCGCUGGAAUGGCCCCAGAUGUUUCUUCCAAGGCUAAACCAUCCAUUACCCUUCUCCCUCUUCCCUUCCUUUCUCCUUCCUCUUCUCCUCCUUUUUCUCCUCUUCCUCCUCCUUUCUCUCCCCCUCUGUCUCGCUUCUGCAUCAAUAACGGUGAACGUUUAUAUAAGUCUGAAAUCCAGCCAACCUGAAGAUUCCCCUCCAACGGUUUAGGGCUGGGGCCACACCGAGAGGUCACUGUCGCUCAGCGUCUUAUCACUGAGCUGUUCCUUUGAGUCUGUUCCCUAUGCUAAGCGGUUAUUAGUAGAAAUAGGAUGCGGUGGGGUGGGGGAGCGGAGACAGAAUGAGCAAUUGAGUCGGGCCCACCUGCCAGGGGCUCCCGCUGUCAUCCUUCACAGGUAAAUGACACAUACAGGCUUAAAAAAACAACUCUCCCAUUUUCUUAUAGCACAUUUUUUUUUUGUUUGUUUGUCAGAUUACAUGUUCAAUCAAUUGUGACAAGUCGCGGCGCUAUGCAAGGCAUCACGUAAUCCAGGGUAAACCCUGGGCUCCACGGGCAGCCGGGAAGCCAAUCCACGCUGCUCUCUAAAGGCUAUUACCUGCCGUGGCGGGAAAAAGCGUUAACAAGGGUUUGUUUGUUUUUUUCCAAAUGACUUUCCAUGGCAGGGAGGGAAACAGACUGUGUUGCCCAAGAGAAAGUGGUUAAUUUUAUUUUGUAUGAUGUUAUUUUAUUUUAUUUUAUUUUAUUUUAUUUUAUUUUAUUUUAGCAGCUGCAGGCAGUGGAAAAGUGGGUAUUACAAUCCUAGUACAUCUCUAAUUAAUAAGAUCAGUUGCCUCUGUAUUUUCUUUUACAAACUCAUUUAGAUAUGUCAGGCUGCAAUUAUUUUGAGAAUGAUCUGGCUUUAUGCUUAUUCAUCUUUCCUCUUCCUCAAGGAGAAAAUAAAACUGUCAGCUUAAAUGCCCUUUGAAGUCUGGUUUAGAUCCUUGAUUGAAAAUUAAAAACAAAGUCUCUAGCCUAGUGCCAUUUACAGGGUCAAAGUUCCUGUCCUCACAUUGCGGUGUGUGUGUGUGUGUGUGUGUGUGUGUGUGUGUGUGAGGGAGAGAGAGAGAGAGAGAGAGAGAGAGAGAGAGAGAGUUCUGUUCUUAAAAGGGCCACACGCUGGUUUUCUAAUAACAUGUUACAUCCCUUUGCUUUAACUCCCUGGAUCUACAAGAACUUCAGAGUCUCGUGUUAUUUUAAAACUGAGAAGCACUGGGCCGUCAUUUGGUUGAUCUGUUGUUUCUCGUUUCCGAGGAUGUCUCUCCAAACGAACGUCAUAAAACUCUCGCUGUGGACCCGGACAAUGGUUUGGGAAGCUUUGCUCAACACUUCCAUGCCUCCUGCAAUCAUUACCCACCCAUUCGGCAUGCCCGGAAUCCGUCCCCACUGCUGGGGACCCAGCCUUCACCUCCGCGCCCCCCCCCCCCCCCCCCCCCCCGCCCCCCCGCCGGGUGGGAAGCGCCCACAUUCCCUUCUCCCAGUCCCUGUGCCCAGCUCAGCCGCAGAAAGGCCGAGAACCCGUCUGGUCUGGUCGCUCGUCCCCCUUGGAGAAGCCUCCCACAGAUGCAGACAAAUAAGCCCCGUCAUCCCCUGCAGUGCCAGAGGAAUGCUUCUAGACUCCAUCUGGGGACGAUGAACCCAAACUGUUUCGGGAGAUUUAAACCUUUUCUUGGAGGAGACACAGAGGCUGGCAGGAGGCUAGCAACCCGAGCAAACGGCACUGAAGCCCAAGCAGCCGCCUCUCCCGGGCCAUACCUCCUCCGCCGGCUUCUCCCGCUCCCGCCUUCUGUCUGAUUUGUCUUUACGGUUUUCACAUUAUCCCUCUGUUGACAAAUGAACGCUUUUCUGGAAAACGAGGUGUUUCCAGAAGCGGGCAGACGCUGUCUGCAGCGCCGUAAGUGCUCAGCAGUGCUCUGGCUCACUCGAUUCAUUAUUUGAACGGGAGAGGCCUGGAGGUUUUGCGCAAGCAUCACAUUCAAGGUGAUGAUAAAUGCAGUCUGGCCCGGGUGGUAAUAAGGGGAUUUCUAGCCAGGUCCUGUCUAGACCACGGUUUGUUAGGGAGCGAAACCCCUGAAUGGUGGGGCGGGGGGUGGGGGGGGGGGUGCGUAGCACCCCGCUCCUCGGAGAAAUUGUCCUCAGGGAUCUCCAGGCACAUUGCAAGGCCAAACCUGCGUCCGGCCCCUCACUGGGGCUGCUGUAAAUAACAUUAGCUUGUCUUUCAGCAAGCUCUGGGAAGCUUAUAAACCGAACACGGUUUUUGUUGUCUGUAGUUGCGCAUUAAGCUCGGGACUGUCAAGUCUAAUUAUUCUCAUUAAGGCCUGAAAGUUUUAGGGAUUAAUUAAGCAGAGAGCGAAAGCUUAUCCAGAGCGGCAAUAUUUUCCCCCUCAAGGAUUAGCCCGUCAUUCUGGUGGGGUCUUCCUUGAGCAUUGGCCAUUACUUUCUCAGAUAGGAAAAGUGUGGAGCUCACGUACCGUGGUGCAGCAACAGCCUACAUUUUGCAUGUGCUAUUCAGCCCUGAAAAUGAGUCCUAGCCCUUGUGCCCAUAACCCAGAAGGCUCGUUAAUGAGAACCAGGCAGUGGGGCUAAUGAGAAAUUCAAUACGCGAUGUCUCUCCUUCCCAUUUCCUCCCAAUUUACUUUCUACAGGAUCCAACGUGUGCAGGAGGAGUCUGAGUCGAUGCCAGUCUUCUUGUUUUUACUCAGUGGGGAUCUUAGAAAUGAUCUAAUUCUAUCCCCUCUUGCUAGAGACGUAGACACGGAGAUCCAGCGACUGGCUCGGAGGGCCAUAGUUAUUGACAAAGCUCCUUUAAGAGACCACGGCGGGAAAGUUCUGGAAGCACUGAUGAAGGACAUCGGGAUGGUGAGGGUCCUCAGCCCUUAGGGUUUGCUGUGACCCAAAAUGCAGCGGAAAUGAGAUGGUCCCACAGUAAAGAAGAUGAUGGGAAGGGACUAAUUUGCAUGUGAGCCCCAGGGAACUCUGGGAUGUUACAAAGUGUCAGCAGAUUUCCUACAGGAUUUCAGGGCUUCCUGAAGAAAUGGAGAACAGGGGAUGGGUAGUCAGGUCCUGGACCUGCCACAAGUAAAAAGAAAAGACCGAUGUGGGAAAUCACUCUCUUAUCACAUUAGCUCAAGUCUGCAGCAGGUCAGAGGUGGGUAUUUCUGCCAUCUAUCUCUUGCACUUCCAUAAAGGCACCACUCCUGUCCGGUGACUUGAAAUGGAGCAGUUCCUGCCUCCUUGCUCCCAAAUCCACUCACUCCCUUAUCUCUUGAGAUUGGCCUCCGGUGCGUGCCUAGGACUGGGCGUGAGCAGUGCCAGAACCCCUAGGGUUUACCUGCCCCGAGUUGUGUGGCUUGCAUCUACGGGAGCAGGAACACCACUACUCCCCUGCACCCUGCUGUACCUGGCUGGCUCCCCCUUCCAUCCCAGCAUCCAUCCGCUAGCCAUACCCGGAGACUACCCAACGUCCUGUGGUCCUGUAGGUGGCUGGAGACAACACCCUCUAUGGAUACCAUUUGGAAGACAGCUGGGAGGAACGAGGUUGGCUGCCAUAUUGGAUCAGAUACCUUAAUAUAUCCUCCUCUCUUGCCUCUGAGGAGCUUGUUUUGGCUCCUCAAACAAGGCAGUUGUCAAGGCUGAGUUCACUGGGCAGGACUCUGCCCCAAGAGGACUGGUUGGUGAGGCUGAGUGUGCCAGCAAAGAUGGGAGCAACAACUUUCCAAGAGCAUUGCCAAAGGGGACCAAGCCAGCAGCAGCCUCCACCACCACCACCAUCGGCUGGGCACCGUUGCCCGAAUGUCACAUGUCUUUCUACCUUCUUUGCUCGUAAGAGCUAUCACUCCUUCUCCAAUUCCCCAGGGCACUUUACUUUCACCCUUCUUGCUUUCUACAUUCUGUAUUCACUUAUACAUCAUUUUAUGAGCUAUACGUCCCAGAGGCUCUCAUUGCCUCAUUUAUUUUUGCUUCCCCAUGGCCCGUGCUGUAUCCCUGCAAAAUUCAGAAGCCCAAAGCACCAACGUGAUGGCAUCUACAGGUGGGGUCUUUGGGAGGUAAUGCGGAUUAGAUGAGGUGGUAAGAGUGGGGCCAUGAUGGGAUUGGUGCCCUUAUAAAGAGGAUGAGACAGGAGGUCUCCUCUCUCUCUCUCUCUCUCUCUCUCUCUCUCUAUCUCUACUUGCACUCACCUAGGGUAGGCCAUGUGAGCUCAUAGCCAGGAAGAAGGUCUCACCUGAAACCACAUCAGAGGGCACCCCGAUCUCAUACUUCUCGGCCUCCAGCCUGAGAAAUAAAUGUAGGUCAUUGACAUCA
RNAcentral lists this long non-coding RNA (5279 nucleotides) under Lynx pardinus (Iberian lynx). Lineage: Eukaryota; Metazoa; Chordata; Mammalia; Carnivora; Felidae. The record is from RNAcentral.